This is a non-coding RNA of Cinara cedri, 231 nucleotides long. NCBI's taxonomy places the organism in Eukaryota, Metazoa, Arthropoda, Insecta, Hemiptera, Aphididae. The record is from the annotation of a GenBank genome assembly.
CAACUUUCCUCCUAAAUCGGUGAUACACCUAUGUAAAAUAAACAUUCAAAUAUUAAUGGUAUAUUUAGUUCAAUAGGUAUGCUUUUUAUUUCUGCUUUGUUGUCGAUUAGAAUAUAGCAGCCCGCAUUUUUAAACUCAGAUUCUAAGAGAGAAUAUAGGUACUUUUCUAAUAAUGUUGAUACGUAUAAUACUAAUAUCAUGGAUGCUAUAUAGUUUGUGAGUCAGUAGUUU